GGAGAGGGAAUUACACAUCACCUGAUUUUGGAUGCAUGUGUGAAGUAUGCUACUCUACUCACAAGACAUCUGAAACUACACCCAGAUCAUCUAGAAGUUAACACGUUCCAGGUGAUGUCUCUAUGUAAACCAAGGGUUGGUUUUCAGUGGAUUGAAAAUGCCCUUCAAACACUGACCCUGUCACAUUGCAGAUGCCUUCAGGUAAAAAGUCAAUUAACCACUGGUGGGCAAUAUCCAAAAUUAAUAGCAGAAACAGAAAAAUAAAAGACUACUCAGCAAAGACAAGUAGAGUUUCUGGAGGCUGGGUCAUCCAAGGUCAAGGUGCUGACAGAUGGAUUGUCCCUGGAAAGCCUGCUUCAUAGAUGACAAUCUUCUCCCUGUGUUCUCAGGAGUGAGGGUACCUUUCUGGUGCCUUUUUUCAUAAGGACACUAAUCCCGUUCCUGAGGGCUCUACUCUCAUAACAUAACAUCCAGAAGGUCCUACAUUCUAAUAUCAUCACACUGCAGAUUGGCAUGGUAUGGAUGGAAGUGAAGAAAAAUGUUCCAGGUUGGUUGUGCAAGACUUUCAAAAUGAAAACAAUUGAGAGACAGAUGCAUGGAAAUCACAGAUGAAGAUGAAAAUACCACCUUCAUGGCCAGUCAAGUGUUGAAGAAAGAAUGUGAUUUAGAUGCUGCCAAUGGUACCUACAAUUACACUCCAAAAAAAUGGAACUCACUUCAAACUAAGAGCCCAUUCCAUGGAGGAGAGGAGAAUGAGAAUGUAGAACAGUCAGAGAAAGGUAGAGAAAGGAAGAAUCCCAGCCAAUUCUUGAAGCUUAGCUUUAAAUCCAGCUUGUUCCUAAACACUCAGC
This 851-nucleotide long non-coding RNA is filed under the name Pongo abelii (Sumatran orangutan). Its description in RNAcentral is "lincRNA". Lineage: Eukaryota; Metazoa; Chordata; Mammalia; Primates; Hominidae. The record is from RNAcentral.